This 1351-nucleotide ribosomal RNA is filed under the name metagenome. Its description in RNAcentral is "SSU rRNA". It matches the Rfam family "Eukaryotic small subunit ribosomal RNA", at positions 6 to 1370 of the family's 1831-position model. The record is from RNAcentral.
GGUUGAUUCUGCCAGUAGUCAUAUGCUUGUCUCAAAGAUUAAGCCAUGCAUGUCUAAGUAUAAGCAAUUAUACGGCGAAACUGCGAAUGGCUCAUUAAAUCAGUUAUCGUUUACUUGAUAGACCCAUACUACUUGGAUAACCGUGGUAAUUCUAGAGCUAACACAUGCGAAAAACCGCGACUUCGGAAGCGGUGUAUUUAUUAGAUUAAAGACCAAUGCCCUUCGGGGCUGACUGGUGAUUCAUGAUAACUUCACGAAUCGCACGGCCUUGCGCCGGCGAUGGCUCAUUCAAAUUUCUGCCCUAUCAACUUUCGACUUUAGUGUAGUGGACUAAAGUGGUUGCAACGGGUAACGGAGGGUUAGGGCUCGACCCCGGAGAAGGAGCCUGAGAGGCGGCUACUACAUCCAAGGAAGGCAGCAGGCGCGCAAAUUACCCAAUCCCGACCCGGGGAGGUAGUGACAAUAAAUACUGAUACAGGGCCCUUUUGGGUCUUGUAAUUGGAAUGAGUACAAUUUAAAUCUCUUAACGAGGAACAAUUGGAGGGCAAGUCUGGUGCCAGCAGCCGCGGUAAUUCCAGCUCCAAUAGCGUAUAUCAAAGUUGUUGUGGUUAAAAAGCUCGUAGUUGAACCUGGGCCUCGCGCAGACCGGUCCGCCUCACCGCGUGCACUGGUCCUGCCGGGGCUUUCACUAGGGGAUUCGCAUGUCCUUCACUGGGCGUGUGCGGAACCUGGACUUUUACUGUGAAAAAAUUAGAGUGUUCAAAGCAGGCCUAUGCUCGAAUACAUUAGCAUGGAAUAAUAGAAUAGGACGUGUGGUUCUAUUUUGUUGGUCAUGGGACCGCCGUAAUGAUUAAUAGGGACAGUCGGGGGCAUCAGUAUUCAAUAGUCAGAGGUGAAAUUCUUGGAUUUAUUGAAGACUAACUACUGCGAAAGCAUUUGCCAAGGAUGUUUUCAUUAAUCAGGAACGAAAGUUAGGGGAUCGAAGACGAUCAGAUACCGUCGUAGUCUUAACCAUAAACUAUGCCGACUAGGGAUCGGGCGAUGUUAUUUUUUGACUCGCUCGGCACCUUACGAGAAAUCAAAGUCUGUGGGUUCCUGGGGGAGUAUGGUGGCAACGCUGAAACUUAAAGAAAUUGACGGAAGGGCACUACCAGGAGUGGAGCCUGCGGCUUAAUUUGACCCAACACGGGGAAACUCACCAGGUCCAGACACAAUGAGGAUUGACAGAUUGAGAGCUCUUUCUUGAUUUUGUGGGUGGUGGUGCAUGGCCGUUCUUAGUUGGUGGAGUGAUUUGUCUGCUUAAUUGCGAUAACGAACGAGACCUUAACCUGCUAAAUAGCCCGCGUUGCUC